This 235-nucleotide ribosomal RNA is filed under the name uncultured soil bacterium. RNAcentral describes it as "partial 16S ribosomal RNA". It matches the Rfam family "Bacterial small subunit ribosomal RNA", at positions 26 to 267 of the family's 1533-position model. The record is from RNAcentral.
AGAUUGAACGCUGGCGGCAUGCCUUACACAUGCAAGUCGAACGGUAGAGUAGCAAUACUUGAGAGUGGCGAACGGGUGAGUAAUAUAUCGGAACGUGCCCAGUCGUGGGGGAUAACGUAGAGAAAUUUACGCUAAUACCGCAUACGAUCUAAGGAUGAAAGCGGGGGACUCGCAAGAGCCUCGCGCGAUUGGAGCGGCUGAUAUCAGAUUAGGUUGUUGGUGAGGUAAAAGCUCA